Molecule: ribosomal RNA, 415 nt
Filed under: Nasutitermes sp. ECU8
Lineage: Eukaryota; Metazoa; Arthropoda; Insecta; Blattodea; Termitidae
Also listed under: 1 other name
Description: partial 12S ribosomal RNA
Source: RNAcentral
CCCUAUUAUUUUAGAAUGUUAAUUUUUGUGCCUGAGUAGUAUUAGUUAUGUUCUUGAAACUUAAAGAAUUUGGCGGUAUCUCAUUCCGUCCAGAGGAAUCUGUCCCGUUAUCGAUAGUCCACGUUGGACCUUACUUAUUUGAUUUUGGUUUGUAUACCGCCGUUUAUUGAUUAUCUUUUUAGAGGUUACUUAAUUUUCUGGUUUCUUUAUUUUGAUGUAUUUCAGGUCAAGGUGCAGCUUGUUUUUAAGUGGAAUGAUGGAUUACAUUGUUAUUUGUUUAUGGAUUGUUGAUUUUAAUAUUGGCAUGAAAUUGGAUUUGGUUGUAAUAAUUUGUAGAUUGUUAUUAUGAUAAUUGGUUCUGAGAUAUGCACACAUCGCCCGUCGCUCUCGUUUGUUUAUUAUAAUGAGAUAAGUC